This 609-nucleotide long non-coding RNA is filed under the name Linum usitatissimum (flax). RNAcentral describes it as "long non-coding RNA (LUSI_LNC004464)". Lineage: Eukaryota; Viridiplantae; Streptophyta; Magnoliopsida; Malpighiales; Linaceae. The record is from RNAcentral.
ACCGAUCCCAAAUUUUGGCCAUGGACAAGAUGCAACAUCAUGGUUUUAUCAUGGAUCCAGCAGUCAGUCGAACAAGGAAUACGAAGAACGAUUAUGGGAGUCAAAACGGCAGCAGAAGCAUGGCAGAGUCUUAAAUCGAGGUAUGGACAUGGUGAUGUUGUUAGAAUAGCUUAAAUACAAGAGCAGCUUGCUAAUUUAAAGUAAGGAAACAAUUCAGUAACAGAGUAUCAUGGUUUGAUUAUAACAUUACGAGACGAGUUAAGAAAUUAUCAACCUGUUUUAGCAUGUGAUUGCACUGCAACAAGUCACUUUGAUUGUAGAGCCAUGAAAUUGGUAAACCAUUAUCAGGAAACGAACUCAGUAAUACACUUCCUAGUCCACGAGAAUUUUGAAGGACCAAGAGCACAGGUUUUGUUUGGUGAUGACCUGCCUACACUUGAGAAGGUGGUGCAGCGCAUGGUGCAACAUGAGCGACAACUUUAUGGGACACAAAACAAGUAGGGAAAGGUUGAAGGAAUGGCUAUGGCAGGAUUUCAAAGGCACAGUGUACUCAUUGCAAGUUAUGGGGGCACACUGAGGAUAGAUGUUUCUACAAAAACGGUUGGCCAC